AAUUAUUACUUACAACACGUCUCCGUUCCAAUGGUUCGGAGCUGUCGCGGCUGCAGUGAAAGAUGUCAAUAUUAUCGUGAAACGGGUGUCAAUAUGGCUGCAUCUGAUUGGUUAAUAAUGUUCUUACGCCAGUAUUACAUCGUGUUAUUGGUUCGACUGAUGGCGAGUUAACAAACUUUUACACUAUGGUUUUGACAAAUUAUGCAGAACCUUUUGCUGGCAACAACUGGUUUAUCGUUAGAAAUAACAUAAUCAUCCCAACUUUAGAAAUCCAGGUCAUCGUAAAUUAAAUUGCAAAGUUGAACAAAUACGGGGCUUUGGCCCACCACCUACAAUGCAGUAGCCUAGAAAUGCUAAGCCCCCUGCACACUUCCUCCUAUGCAGCAUGCUAUAUGACCGCUCCGUUCCCAGAGUGCAGGCCUCCUUGUAAUUCCAAGAAUAUCAAAAACCACAGUAGGAGGCAGAGCCUUUAGCUACCAAGCCCCCCUCCUCUGGAACAAUCUCCCUGCCUCCAUCCGAGAUGCAGACACCCUACCUAUAUUCAAAUCGAGACUAAAGACAUUCCUCUUUAGUGCAUCCUAUAGCCACAAGUAAUUGCGUCAACAAACCCAUCACCUGCUGGGACAGCCAGUCAGCAAGCAUAACUAGACAUAUCUGAACACACAAGAAUUCAAAAUAAAAAUGUAUAACACUGGGCUACAGACAGCGUAUGUUCUACCCAGCAACCCUAACAAAGCUUACGACUAAAAUCUCCAUAUGUACCAAACCAAACUAAUUGCUAAAUGCCAGCAUAACUAAACACAUCUAAACACAUGCAAUACCCCCCUAAUCAACAAAACCGGGCUACAGACAGCGUAUGUUGUACCGUGAAGGAGUGCGACAGAUCCCGGGUACAGCACACGGCGCGUUUUGCGACUGUCACCAGCCAACUAAAUACUAAAUAAAAUUCCCAUACACCUAGCCAGGCAGCCUCUCUCUCUCUCUCUCUCUCUCUCUCUCUCUCUCUCUCUCUCUCUCUAUCUCCCUCUCCUUUCUUAUCACAUUGCUAAUGCCUAUAAUAACCCACUCACUCUGUUCUUUUUCUUUCUCUCCUAAUCUAGACUAUCUUCGCUAUGGGACGCUGCUGUAGUCUCUCCACCCGGUCUACCUGUAGAAACCCUCGGCCAAUUGCACCCACCGCCACCACACUGCCGUAAGUCUACCUCAUACCCUAUGCUAGCAUUUAUAUACAAUAAAUAUUAUUGCCACCAUCGACAUGUUUCUCUGUUCCUACUCCCCUUACCCCUGUAACAGUAACCCUAUGAGCACAGUGUAUACCCACUAAACUGGUCUUGUCUGUAUUAUGUAUUUACCACCGGAUGUCUGUAUAUAUAUUAUGUACAUCUACCAAAUGAAGGCUAUGCACAACACCUGUUGUUUCCCUUCCCCUUCUGCCAC
Long non-coding RNA from Clupea harengus (Atlantic herring), 1437 nucleotides. NCBI's taxonomy places the organism in Eukaryota, Metazoa, Chordata, Actinopteri, Clupeiformes, Clupeidae. The record is from Ensembl.